Molecule: ribosomal RNA, 775 nt
Filed under: uncultured Neocallimastigales
Lineage: Eukaryota; Fungi; Neocallimastigomycota; Neocallimastigomycetes; Neocallimastigales
Description: partial large subunit ribosomal RNA
Rfam family: Eukaryotic large subunit ribosomal RNA
Source: RNAcentral
GUACACGCUGUGACUAGCAUAUCAAUAAGCGGAGGAAAAGAAACUAACGAGGAUUCCCCUAGUAACGGCGAGUGAAGCGGGAAGAGCUCAAAUUUGAAAUCUUAAAGGGUUUCCCUUUACGAAUUGUAGUUUAAAGAAGUGUUUUCUGUUGAGGUUUUGGUAAAAGUUCUUUGGAAUAGGACAUCAUAGAGGGUGAGAAUCCCGUAUUUGACCUUUACUUUCAACUUUGUGAUACACUUUCAAAGAGUCGGAUUGUUUGGGAAUGCAGUCCAAAAUGGGUGGUAAAUUUCAUCUAAAGCUAAAUAUUGGCGAGAGACCGAUAGCGAACAAGUACCGUGAGGGAAAGAUGAAAAGAACUUUGAAAAGAGAGUUAAACAGUACGUGAAAUUGUCAAAAGGGAAGCGUUUAGACACCAGUGUUGUUUUUCUGAAAAUCAAUUAAAGAACUGUUUAUGCUAAGUUGUUUAGACUUUAUCAGCUAACUGUUUAGUUUUGAGCUUUUCUUUAAUACACUUUUCAGUUAACAAGUCAACAUCAAUUUCUUUUGCUGUAAAAAAGCUUGAGGAAGGUGGCUUGAGAUUCGUCUUAAGUGUUUAUAGCCUCUUGCCUAUGCAGUCGGAGAGAUUGAGGUCUGCAGCGUAGAUCCUUCGGGGCUAAAUGCAUUUGUGCUAAGUUAUAGCAUUUUAUAGACAACUUGUUGACUAUGAUUUGUCUUGUAGCUUACUCGCUUAUGUUAUUUUACCUACGCUUAGGAUGUUGAAGAUGUAGCACAUCAU